ACGGCUCAGUAACACGUGAGCAAUCUGCCUUUAAGAGUGGAAUAGCAACUGGAAACGGUUGGUAAUACCACAUAAUAUACAUUUACCGCAUGAUAGAUGUAUCAAAGAUUUAUCGCUUAAAGAUGAGCUCGCGUCUGAUUAGCUAGUUGGUGAGGUAACGGCCCACCAAGGCGACGAUCAGUAGCCGGACUGAGAGGUUGAACGGCCACAUUGGGACUGAGACACGGCCCAGACUCCUACGGGAGGCAGCAGUGGGGAAUAUUGCACAAUGGGCGCAAGCCUGAUGCAGCGAUGCCGCGUGAGGGAAGAAGGUUUUCGGAUUGUAAACCUCUGUUGACAGGGACGAUAAUGACGGUACCUGUUCAGAAAGCUCCGGCUAACUACGUGCCAGCAGCCGCGGUAAUACGUAGGGAGCGAGCGUUGUCCGGAAUUACUGGGUGUAAAGGGAGUGUAGGCGGGACUGCAAGUCAGAUGUGAAAUGUAGGGGCUCAACCCCUGAGCUGCAUUUGAAGCUGUGGUUCUUGAGUGAAGUAGAGGUAAGCGGAAUUCCUAGUGUAGCGGUGAAAUGCGUAGAUAUUAGGAGGAACAUCAGUGGCGAAGGCGGCUUACUGGGCUUUAACUGACGCUGAGGCUCGAAAGCGUGGGGAGCAAACAGGAUUAGAUACCCUGGUAGUCCACGCCGUAAACGAUGAUUGCUAGUGUGGGGGGGGGUUGACCCCUUCCGUGCCGCAGUUAACACAAUAAGUAAUCCACCUGGGGAGUACGGUCGCAAGACUGAAACUCAAAGGAAUUGACGG
RNAcentral lists this ribosomal RNA (797 nucleotides) under uncultured bacterium. RNAcentral's name for it is "bacterial SSU rRNA". It matches the Rfam family "Bacterial small subunit ribosomal RNA", at positions 102 to 916 of the family's 1533-position model. The record is from RNAcentral.